GCCUUCGUGGUGUAGUGAUCAGCACGCUCGACGCGUAACCGAGAGGUCCGUGGUUCAAUUCCCGGCGAAGGCG
Molecule: transfer RNA, 73 nt
Filed under: Stegodyphus mimosarum
Lineage: Eukaryota; Metazoa; Arthropoda; Arachnida; Araneae; Eresidae
Rfam family: tRNA
About the family: Transfer RNA (tRNA) molecules are approximately 80 nucleotides in length.
Source: Rfam by way of RNAcentral